CAUAUUUGUUAUUAUUCACGAGAUGCUCCGAUCGAAACAAUGAGGUUAUGUACUACGAGUUAGAAAUAAAAAGAACGUGAAGCGUGACGAUGCGUUGAUAAGUUGAUACCAGUUGAUAUGUAAGAUAAGUAAGUAAAAACAGGCGUCACUCUAUUCUACGUCGUAAUGAGACUGUAUGGAUUUACAUAGCAGUUAAGCGUCGAUAGAAAAUAAUCCAAGUAAAAAUACACAUUAGAAUGAUCCAUGAUAACGAACGAAAACUUAAGAAAAAAGAGAAAAUAAAAGAGAAAAAAAGAAGAAAGAAAGAGAAGAAGUAGUAAGCGGUGAGAAAAGAAACGUAAAAAGAAAGAACGAGACAACAGAAGAGAACAAAACGGAUAAAAUAUGAAAUUAGAAUGUGUGGACCAUGGUAUUAUGGUAUGUAGCAACGUACCUCACUACUGGGUGCUUGGGAGGUACGGAUGGGUCCAUGGGGCUGAAAUAACAAAACAAAGCAUUUCAGGGCAAGAUAAAUGGAAACGAAGUGCUUUAAUCAAGUGCUUGUCUACUCGUCUACGAUGGUCAUACUUGUUGUCAAUGAUAGAUCCAUGAAAGUGAUCGGUUCUCGGUCAAAGAUCCAUCGACGAAAGGGGGGAAAAAUCAAGAAAAAAGAAAAAAAGAGAAAAGAAAAAUGCCAGACGUUUAAACAGUUGGAUGGGAGCUGGAGUGCAGCAAAGAGC
Long non-coding RNA from Bombus pyrosoma, 719 nucleotides. RefSeq lists it as uncharacterized. Lineage: Eukaryota; Metazoa; Arthropoda; Insecta; Hymenoptera; Apidae. The transcript has 4 exons. The record is from RefSeq and is a predicted model, not a curated record.